Long non-coding RNA from Sinocyclocheilus grahami, 378 nucleotides. RefSeq lists it as uncharacterized. The transcript is spliced from 5 exons. NCBI's taxonomy places the organism in Eukaryota, Metazoa, Chordata, Actinopteri, Cypriniformes, Cyprinidae. The record is from RefSeq and is a predicted model, not a curated record.
CAGAUCCAACCCUAAUCAAACACACCUGAACCAGCUAAUCAAGGUCUGAGGGUGUCUAGAAAGCUGCAGUGCGUUCCUGACUAUGUUAAAAGUGGAUUCUCCUGGAAAAUCAACCGCUGCUGAGUAAUGCAGGAGCCUCCAUCCUCGUGUGCAGACCUGACUCACGAAGUGGUUUGGCACCUCCAUAGUCCCAGAGCUGAAGCUGCUGUCCGCUCCUCUUUGGCUGAACUGAGACCUUGAUUCUACCAGAGGACAUGACUUCACUUUCUUCCAGACCACACACUAAACAUGUUUGCUUUCUGUUAGCUGGGAUCUUUGAGUUGGAUGUGUUAUCCUUUACAUGGAGUUCUUCGGUAUUUACCUAAAUAAGCCUCAUGU